GCAGCCCUGUGUAGGGGUCCUGCUAGUCUUUUUAUGGGGCUUCCCGCCUCAAAAGAAAAAAAUGUUAUGAAGCCACAAGAUAGAGAAAAUGUGGGAAACUAGGAAAGAUGCCAACACGUUCCUGGAGGAUGGAAAGCUGAUGAAAGAGUGGCGACUGACUCACCGGAGAGGGGGAAGCUACGCCGUCAGUGUCAGCAGAGAAGGGCGCUGAGGAGAAGCAAGAAGCAGCCUGAGGGCUCCAGAAGGGCAGCAUGCUGAGUCAGGCUGUGGGUUCAGUUCUGUGUAGGUUCAGUUAGAGCCCCAGGCACCUCCUGACCUUGAAGAGAAGUGAUAACCAGACUUGGCCCUUCUAACAAUCCCACCUUCAUUCUUUAGAAAUUGAACCUGGAGAGGCCCAGGCCACGAGGACAUCAUACACUGCAGAUCAGAGACACAGAUAAAAUACACACACAGAGAUCAAUGACAUGUCUUUCCUUCCACUACCAUCCCCUGCCCGUCUUCUAGAUACUGACAGCCGGGGCCUAACCCCCUGCGGAAGAGGUGGCUUCUUCUCUGGGGAAACUGAACAGGAAAUGCGUACAGAUCCUGAUGUCUGAGGACCCCAUUAAGCUUUGGAAGUUGGAAGGGUACCUUUCUCAUGGGAAACUUUGUGACCUACUUUUAGGAGGAAAGAGGGAACUAGCUGAGAGAGCCCUGCAUCUGCUACUUCUCAGAGACAAGAAAAUGGAGUCAGGCAGCCGGGGCAUGCGCAGAGGAGAAAACUUUGCUCUCAAAUAACAACCGGAACCAAAGUUUCUCCUACCACUGGCCUCCCACGGAACCAAAGGGCCAGGGCACGACCGGAACCUGAAUGCCGGAACUCCUUCAGAAGCACGGAGCCCACGGUCCGGAAAGCUCCGUUGCUGAAGUCCCCUUUACCACAUCUUACCGUAAACCUGCGAAGUUCCAAAGCCCUUCUGUCGAAACCUGGCCUGCUUCCGUUUAUCAACUCUCCUCCCUUGAUUCAUAGAAGUUUGACUGAACCCAAGAUCGGAGAGACAGAUUUGAGCCGUGCCUCUUGUCUCCUUGCCGGUGGACCUCGAGGAAUGGUCCAGAGGCUGGAGGAGCAGUAAUGUUCACUGGACUUCCAAGGGACGUGUUUUCCUGAACAGCGCUAUGAUCCUCACGUGCUGUUCGGAGAAGAGUCUCUUGCUGUGGGUAGAGAUAAAGACUACAGAAGUAAUGCUUCCUUUCUCUUGGUAUCAAAAUCAGACCUUUAAUUGUCAGCAACUAUAAGGUUCAAAUAAUGGCUGGGCACAAGACAAUGAUUCCUAAAUGGAGGGAAGGCAGAACUUUUAUUCCUGACAGCUCCCGAAGAGAGAAGUUCCCCACACAGAACCACACAAGGGGCUGCACCAGGGGAAGGGUGACAGCAGAAACUGUUGGAGGUGGCUAAUGUGUAUGAGAAACAGUGUGGGGUUGGCCGAGUUUCACAGGCUUGUUGUGGACUGGGUAUUUUUCGUGAUUCUCCAAGUACAAGGAAGAAGGGGCCAUCCCUUGAAGUUUGCUACCAGGGCCUCUGGCAGUUGGAUGUCUGUGUUGUAACCUGGAAGUGUUGGAGCACCGUAAGGGAAAGCAGUCAGAGUGUGCGUUUAGCAGACUGCAAAAGGGAAUUGAAAGGUUUUUAGCCAUGAUCUCAAAACUGGGUCAAGACAGCACUUGUGAAAUAUUAUGUUAUCUUGAGGCACAGAGCGACCCAGUAACUUGCUAAGGUCACCACUAAUAAGUGGCCAAGGCAGGACUUAGCACCAGGCAGUCUGAUUCCAGAAUCCAUGUGAGAAAAGGCUAGAAAAGUCAGUGCAGGAUCUGUCAAGGAGGCACUUGGCCUUUUAUCUGCACACAGAUCUUUCUAAUCUCUUUUUCUGGGUUGUCCCUUCUUCCUCUAAGAUACACGUGGUCUGUGCUGGUCCUUUGGGGAGAGGCUGUGGAUGUGAUUUUUGCAGGCAAGAGGCAAAGAAUGUUUACUGAUUUGUCAGUAACCAACUUUUUUUUUUCCUGUUAUUGUUGAAGGGGGAGGUAAAUUAGGUUUGUUUAUUUAUUUAUUUUUAGAGGACGUGCUGGGGAUUGAACCCAUGACCUCAUCAUGUUAGGCAUGCACUCCACCACUUGAACUAUACCCUCCCCUUGUCAGUAGCCACCUUUUAAAAUUCCUGUUUAGAACAUUUGAAGUACAUACCUGGGCAAAGACGAAUAAUUUGGAGGAUUGGACCUCUCCUUCUGUUUUCUUUUGUGGGCCUUCUCCCCCUCUGUUUUUGAACUGAGAUUGGAUCCAUUGAAUGAAUGAUGACAAAUGCAAGCCUCUUUGUUUAACUUCCUCUGACUAUGCUA
This is a long non-coding RNA of Camelus dromedarius (Arabian camel), 2367 nucleotides long. RefSeq lists it as uncharacterized. The transcript has 6 exons. NCBI's taxonomy places the organism in Eukaryota, Metazoa, Chordata, Mammalia, Artiodactyla, Camelidae. The record is from RefSeq and is a predicted model, not a curated record.